Long non-coding RNA from Physella acuta, 1449 nucleotides. RefSeq lists it as uncharacterized. Lineage: Eukaryota; Metazoa; Mollusca; Gastropoda; Physidae. The record is from RefSeq and is a predicted model, not a curated record.
AUGGUUGUUGUAUCCAGGCCACGUGGUAGUAUUAUUUUGUCUGUGUUUAGAGUUUCUCAGUUUAGGCCUUAGGGUAGCCUAAUCUCUUAUCCGACUUAUCGCUUUAGAGAUAUUUCCUGAAUACUACAUGGUAUUGCAUGAGUGUUAUUAUCUCCACGCCACUGAGAUCACUGUAAGAUGUCCGAAGAUUCUGACAUUGCUGAUGUUGAAAUGAAUACCACAGAUUUUUCAGAAUGUAAUACAAGAGAAACUGAGACACAAGAACAGAAGACAGAAAUUAAACAUAAGAAUCAUUAUUCAUAAAAGCUCUAUUGGCAUUAACGCCGACCUAACCACAGCCAGCUACCCAGCCAUGGAUCGAUACGCUUGUGACACCAGUGAGGGCAAAUACACCCAAAGAACAUUUGAAACGACAUCAAAACACUGCACAUGGCAGAGAAAGACAUCAAUGUACAGAAUGCGGGAAAGUAUUUACCAGAAAAGAUAAUUUAUACAGACACACAUUCGGUAAUACAAACAUCCCUGACAUUAAAAAACCCGACCUGAUGCAAACAAAAGCUGCCAGCACCAAGCACUGAUUGAAUCAAAUAGAAAUUGGACUUUAAACCAACACCAACAAACAAAUCUAAACUGGACUCAAAAACCAGAAUGUAAAACACAGAUCACAGAUCGCCCCAGAAACCAUCAACAUGACAGUGGAUGACUUUGACAACACACCAAGGUGGGCAAAAAGACUACAUGAUCAGAAGCUUUCACUACAAAAAUUGUUUUCUCAACACCUCCUCUGACGUUGAGGAUUUCAAUGCCUCCCUGUACAUAUACCCAGAUUUUAACAAACGACUACAUGUUCAGAAGCUUUCACUACAAACAUUGUUUUCUCGGCACCUACUCUGACGUUGAGGAUUUCAAUGCCUCCCUGUACAUAUACCCAGAUUUUAACAAAAGACUACAUGAUCAGAAGCUUUCACUACAAAAAUUGUUUUCUUGAUACCUACUCUGACAGUUGAGGAUUUCAAUGCCUCCCUGCACAUGUACCCAGAUUUUAACCUUGAGAAACACACCUUGCCCACCAACUUUGCAGGUGUUAUAGCUGUCUUCUCUGACACAAAAAUCUACAACCCAAAAACACAUCCCGGAUUUGUUAACAGCUAAAGCUCUUUCCUAAAUCAAAUACUUGCUGACUGACCAAGUUUUCAGAGCCUGUCGAGAAAACAAAAAACUUUUGCAUGGCAUUUAAAUUUUAGAAAUAGACUCAAACGCACACUGUUGCUCGCUUUCUGUGAUUUAGAUUUUAAUUUCAGAUAUAUGUGGUGGAACUAAUACUUAGGGCAUUUAACGCAGAGAUUUAUACAUACACGCAACACAGAAACACAAUUUCUUACUUUUACAUUAAAAGACAAGUACAGUCAGACAGUGUGACAUCUCCAUUAACCAUAUGCUUUUUUUGGG